RNAcentral lists this ribosomal RNA (1375 nucleotides) under uncultured organism. RNAcentral describes it as "16S ribosomal RNA". It matches the Rfam family "Bacterial small subunit ribosomal RNA", at positions 20 to 1374 of the family's 1533-position model. The record is from RNAcentral.
UGGCUCAGAACGAACGCUGACGGCGUGGCUAAGACAUGCAAGUCGUACGAAUGCUUUGAUUGAGUAAUCGAGAUAAGCGUUAGUGGCGAAAGGGUGAGUAAUGCAUAGAUAACGUGCCCCGAACACCGGGAUAGCUGCGGUCUUCGGACCUUUGCGAAAGUGCAGGUAAUACCGGAUGAUGUUCAUUUGUCGCAUGGCAGUUGAACCAAAGGUUUCGGCUGGUUUGGGAGCGGUCCAUGUCGUAUCAGCUAGUUGGUGGGGUAACGGCCUACCAAGGCUUCGACGCGUAGCGGUACUGAGAGGUUGAUCCGCCACAUUGGGACUGAGACACUGCCCAGACCCCCACGGGGGGCUGCAGUAACGAAUAUUGCGCAAUGGACGAAAGUCUGACGCAGCGACGCCGUGUGAAGGACGACGCCCUUCGGGGUGUAAACUUCUGUCAGGGUGAAGAAAGGCGAAAGCUUGAUCGAUCCCAGAGGAAGGACCGGCUAACUUCGUGCCAGCAGCCGCGGUAAUACGAAGGGUCCAAGCGUUGUUCGGAAUUACUGGGCUUAAAGCGCGCGUAGGCGGGAUAGUAAGUGUCUUGUGAAAGCCCCCGGCUCAACCGGGGAAUUGCUUGGCAUACUGUUAUCCUUGAGGCAAGUAGGGGUGCAUGGAACUCUAGGUGGAGCGGUGAAAUGCGUAGAUAUCUAGAGGAACGCCAGUAGUGAAAACGGUGCACUGGGCUUGUUCUGACGCUGAGGUGCGAAAGCGUGGGGAGCGAACGGGAUUAGAUACCCCGGUAGUCCACGUUGUAAACGAUGUCUACUAGGUCGUGGCGGUUCUGACGCCGGCGCGGCCGGAGUGAAAAUUUUAAGUAGACCGCCUGGGGAGUACGGUCGCAAGGCUAAAACUCAAAGGAAUUGACGGGGGCUCACACAAGCGGUGGAGCAUGUGGCUUAAUUCGAAGCAACGCGCAGAACCUUAUCCUGGGUUUGACAUAUUAGGAUGCCCUCCCUGAAAGGGGAGUAAGCUGCCUUCGGGUGAAACUAUUACAGGUGCUGCAUGGCUGUCGUCAGCUCGUGUCGUGAGAUGUCGGGUUAAGUCCCUCAACGAGCGAAACCCUUAUCAUUAGUUACCAGCGGGUCAUGCCGGGGACUCUAAUGAGACUGCCGGUGUUAAACCGGAGGAAGGUGGGGAUGACGUCAAGUCCUCAUGGCCUUUAUGCCCAGGGCUGCACACGUGCUACAAUGGCAUGGACAAACCGACGCAAUACCGUGAGGUGGAGCAAAUCGGACAAACCGUGCCUCAGUUCGGAUUGUAGGCUGCAACUCGCCUACAUGAAGUCGGAAUCGCUAGUAAUCGCAGAUCAGCAAUGCUGCGGUGAAUAUGUUCC